UAGGGAAUCUUCCGCAAUGGACGCAAGUCUGACGGAGCAACGCCGCGUGAGUGAAGAAGGAUUUCGGUUCGUAAAACUCUGUUGUAAGAGAAGAACAGCGCAUAGAGUAACUGUUAUGCGUGUGACGGUAUCUAACCAGAAAGCCACGGCUAACUACGUGCCAGCAGCCGCGGUAAUACGUAGGUGGCAAGCGUUGUCCGGAUUUAUUGGGCGUAAAGCGAGCGCAGGCGGUUAGAAAAGUCUGAAGUGAAAGGCAGUGGCUCAACCAUUGUAGGCUUUGGAAACUGUUUAACUUGAGUGCAGAAGGGGAGAGUGGAAUUCCAUGUGUAGCGGUGAAAUGCGUAGAUAUAUGGAGGAACACCGGUGGCGAAAGCGGCUCUCUGGUCUGUAACUGACGCUGAGGCUCGAAAGCGUGGGGAGCGAACAGG
This 428-nucleotide ribosomal RNA is filed under the name Bacteroidota bacterium. Its description in RNAcentral is "Bacteroidetes bacterium partial 16S ribosomal RNA". It matches the Rfam family "Bacterial small subunit ribosomal RNA", at positions 355 to 776 of the family's 1533-position model. Lineage: Bacteria; Pseudomonadati; Bacteroidota. The record is from RNAcentral.